RNAcentral lists this ribosomal RNA (230 nucleotides) under uncultured bacterium. Its description in RNAcentral is "partial 16S ribosomal RNA". It matches the Rfam family "Bacterial small subunit ribosomal RNA", at positions 15 to 228 of the family's 1533-position model. The record is from RNAcentral.
GAUCCUGGCUCGGGACGAACGCUGGCGGCGUGCUUAACACAUGCAAGUCGAACGAGAAUCUGUGGAACGAGGAUUCGUCCAAGUGAAGCAGAGGACAGUGGCGGACGGGUGAGUAACGCGUGAGGAACCUGCCUUUCAGAGGGGGACAACAGUUGGAAACGACUGCUAAUACCGCAUGACACAUAGAUGUCGCAUGGCAUUUAUGUCAAAGAUUUAUCGCUGAAAGAUGG